CUUUAACUAAUCUUUCACUUACCCUUUCUCCAAACUGAGCCACCUGAACUGUCCCCUGGACUGUGGUUUGGCCCCCUUCACUCUCCAUCCCUAACCCCCAUGACCUUGCAAUCCUGUCUUUUUUCCUCAUCUCCAUUGUCUCUGCUUCUUCCUCUCCACCUCUUGUUCCUCUUCCCAGUCCCCGCUUCACGCUCCCUCAUUCUCAUCGUUGGCUGGAUGCACUUGCGUGUGGUCUAACAUCCCAUCUUCAUGUCUCUUCCUGUACUGUGAGCUUGCAUUGGGGCCGAUUUGAUUGCUACUAUCCGGAGUGGUUGCAGAACCCCCAGCCUUCAUCUUUGCCAGCUUCUAGCUAGGAGCCUUGACCACACAUGCUCCAGUCCUCCAGGGCUCACCUAGGCAGUAAGCAAUAGAAGAAUGGGAUGUGAGAACCUUGAGGGUCAAGUUCAAAGUUAAGUCCCAUUGCACCCUUUGGAGUUUACUAUACCAGAUUGAAUGAACUCUAGACUUAGACCAAAUCCUUUUAUGGUGGCACAGUGAAGCUCGGAGGUGCAAGCUUUAGCGUUCUGGAAUACUGAAAGGCAUUAGUAUCACGGAGAUCCAUAGCUCUGUAACUUAGAUGUGAUAAUAGUCCCUUCAGAGGGUUUGGAGCC
RNAcentral lists this long non-coding RNA (650 nucleotides) under Rattus norvegicus (Norway rat). RNAcentral's name for it is "long non-coding RNA NONRATT007869". Lineage: Eukaryota; Metazoa; Chordata; Mammalia; Rodentia; Muridae. The record is from RNAcentral.